UGAGGUUUCAGAGCUACGUCCUUCUCCAGCGCCUCGAAAGUGACGAAGCUGGACAUCGCGAAACCGUCGAUAAUGUCCUCUUCGGCCGAGGACGACUCCCGCCGCUUCCUCCGGGGGGGCCGCGGCCGGGACGGCGGCGGGGGCCCAUUGUCUUCCUUCUCGGAGCCCGAGGAGGAGAGCGCCGGGGCGGCCCCGGGGCCGGGAGCCCCUCCGGCGGCAGCGCCGCGCCGCCCGCCCUGGGCUCGCCGCUCCCGGUCGCGCUGGGACCGCGAUCGCCGCUUCUUCCGAAGCCCGUUGCAUCGCGCCGGGCCAUCCAUGUCUCUCGGCGGCUCUCCCUCUCGCUCUCGUCCCCCCCCGCCCCACCGCGGGCACAAAUCCGGCUCUCCCCCGGCGGAAUAACGGGGGAGGGAGGGAGGGAGCGAGGGAAGGAGGGAGGAGAGGGCGGAAAGGGGGUGGGGGGGGAUGAAAGAAUCCGAGCGCGGUUCCACCACCACCAGCGGCAAAGCACCAAAUGUAAGAGAUUCCUACGAGCGAGCCAAGGAAAGUAAUGGCUGAUCUCAGGUCGCC
This 567-nucleotide long non-coding RNA is filed under the name Gallus gallus (chicken). The record is from RNAcentral. Lineage: Eukaryota; Metazoa; Chordata; Aves; Galliformes; Phasianidae.